RNAcentral lists this transfer RNA (83 nucleotides) under Clostridiales bacterium. RNAcentral describes it as "tRNA-Leu". It matches the Rfam family "tRNA". Rfam says of the family: Transfer RNA (tRNA) molecules are approximately 80 nucleotides in length. Their secondary structure includes four short double-helical elements and three loops (D, anti-codon, and T loops). RNAcentral also lists the same sequence under 1 other name. The record is from RNAcentral. Lineage: Bacteria; Bacillati; Bacillota; Clostridia; Eubacteriales.
GCGCCCGUGGUGGAAUUGGCAGACACGCCGGAUUUAGGUUCCGGUGGGAGACCAUGCAGGUUCAAGUCCUGUCGGGCGCACCA